ACAACAGGGAUUGCCCUAGUAACGGCGAGUGAAGCGGCAACAGCUCAAAUUUGAAAUCUGGCUCUUUCAGAGUCCGAGUUGUAAUUUGCAGAGGGCGCUUUGGCUUUGGCAGCGGUCCAAGUUCCUUGGAACAGGACGUCACAGAGGGUGAGAAUCCCGUACGUGGUCGCUAGCUAUUGCCGUGUAAAGCCCCUUCGACGAGUCGAGUUGUUUGGGAAUGCAGCUCUAAAUGGGAGGUAAAUUUCUUCUAAAGCUAAAUAUUGGCCAGAGACCGAUAGCGCACAAGUAGAGUGAUCGAAAGAUGAAAAGCACUUUGGAAAGAGAGUCAAACAGCACGUGAAAUUGUUGAAAGGGAAGCGCUUGCAGCCAGACUUGCUUGCAGUUGCUCAUCCGGGCUUUUGCCCGGUGCACUCUUCUGCAGGCAGGCCAGCAUCAGUUUGGGCGGUGGGAUAAAGGUCUCUGACACGUUCCUUCCUUCGGGUUGGCCAUAUAGGGGAGACGUCAUACCACCAGCCUGGACUGAGGUCCGCGCAUCUGCUAGGAUGCUGGCGUAAUGGCUGUAAGCGGCCCGUCUUGAAACACGGACCAAGGAGUCUAACAUCUAUGCGAGUGUUUGGGUGUCAAGCCCGAGCGCGUAAUGAAAGUGAACGGAGGUGGGAACCCGCAAGGGCGCACCAUCGACCGAUCCUGAAGUUUACGGAAGGAUUUGAGUAAGAGCAUGGCUGUUGGGACCCGAAAGAUGGUGAACUAUGCUUGAAUAGGGUGAAGCCAGAGGAAACUCUGGUGGAGGCUCGCAGCGGUUCUGACGUGCAAAUCGAUCGUCAAAUUUGGGCAUAGGGGCGAAAGACUAAUCGAACUAUCUAGUAGCUGGUUCCUGC
Molecule: ribosomal RNA, 878 nt
Filed under: Curvularia hominis
Lineage: Eukaryota; Fungi; Ascomycota; Dothideomycetes; Pleosporales; Pleosporaceae
Description: eukaryotic LSU rRNA
Rfam family: Eukaryotic large subunit ribosomal RNA
Source: RNAcentral